This 372-nucleotide ribosomal RNA is filed under the name uncultured organism. RNAcentral's name for it is "bacterial SSU rRNA". It matches the Rfam family "Bacterial small subunit ribosomal RNA", at positions 526 to 896 of the family's 1533-position model. The record is from RNAcentral.
CGGAGGGUGCGAGCGUUGUCCGGAAUCACCGGGCGUAAAGGGCGCGUAGGUGGCUCGGCAAGCGUGCGGUGAAAGUUCGAGGCUCAACCUCGAAUCGGCCGUGCGAACUGCCAGGCUUGAGCACUGUAGAGGCAGAUGGAAUUCCGGGUGUAGCGGUGGAAUGCGUAGAGAUCCGGAAGAACACCGGUGGCGAAGGCGGUCUGCUGGGCAGUUGCUGACACUGAGGCGCGACAGCGUGGGGAGCAAACAGGAUUAGAUACCCUGGUAGUCCACGCCGUAAACGAUGGGCACUAGAUGCUUGGGGGAGCGACCCCCUGAGUGUCGGCGCUAACGCAUUAAGUGCCCCGCCUGGGGAGUACGGCCGCAAGGCUG